Molecule: transfer RNA, 74 nt
Filed under: Gormaniella terricola
Lineage: Eukaryota; Viridiplantae; Chlorophyta; Chlorophyceae; Chaetopeltidales; Chaetopeltidaceae
Description: tRNA-His
Rfam family: tRNA
About the family: Transfer RNA (tRNA) molecules are approximately 80 nucleotides in length. Their secondary structure includes four short double-helical elements and three loops (D, anti-codon, and T loops).
Source: RNAcentral
GUGGGUAUUACUUAGUGGUUAAAGUGCUGGAUUGUGGUUCUAGAUUUCGUGGGUUCGAUUCCCACUACUCGCCC